RNAcentral lists this small nuclear RNA (107 nucleotides) under Nicotiana sylvestris (wood tobacco). Its description in RNAcentral is "U2 spliceosomal RNA". It matches the Rfam family "U2 spliceosomal RNA". From Rfam's summary of the family: U2 is a small nuclear RNA (snRNA) component of the spliceosome (involved in pre-mRNA splicing). RNAcentral also lists the same sequence under 1 other name. The record is from Rfam by way of RNAcentral. Lineage: Eukaryota; Viridiplantae; Streptophyta; Magnoliopsida; Solanales; Solanaceae.
AUAACUUUCUCGGCCUUUUGGCUAAGAUCAGGUGUAAUAUCUGUUCUUAUCAGAUUUGAUACGGUUCAUCAGCUCACAUGAUAUUAACUCAAUUUUCUGUAGCUUAU